UUUGUUAUUAGUGUGUAAUUUUACUCAUUUUGUUCCUUAGUCUCAAACCGAUAGAAUUGGUUCCCUAAAUUAUUUUAUUUAGAACAAAGAUGAAAAUGUCCUUUUACAAACCUCUCCACUAAAAAAGCUCUGAAAUAAAGUAAACAGUAACAGUAGCAGUUUUAUAAAAUUUUCUUAUUUAUAGGUUGCAUUUGGUUACAAAAAAAGCGCAGAUGAAGGAGGCAAGAAAGGCGGAGCAUGUAAAUGAAUAUUGCAAACUUUCAGCAUAAGAAAGAAUAAGUGAAAAGGCCCACAAUUUACUUCCGAAGAUGGUUUACGACCAAUGAAGAAAAUUAUUUAGCAAGACAAAAUGUUUGUAAACAGAACCUAGCGUUGAUGGUAACAGUUGUGACGAAAUAACAGUGUUUCCGAUUCCAAGACCUUACUAUCUCUAUAACUAAAUGGUAAUGGACCUCUUUCCUGUCUUCAAAGUUAAUGAAGAAGAAAAGGUAACUAAAAUUGUCUACCACCCAACUUAAUAAAUGGUGAGAAGGCGAUUCUGGUCCUUGUUUAUUUACUGUGAAAGGUAGGAGAAGUCUAAGUUUAAAACAAAUGAGAUAGUAAACAUUUAAGAAUCGAGAUAAGUGAUGAAUUUUUGGAUGUUUUUACCGUUUUGUAUUUAAAUUGAAAUACAUUGUAAUUGCAUAAAUCAUUUUUAAUAAAACUGUACAUGAUUAUA
This is a long non-coding RNA of Ostrinia nubilalis (European corn borer), 718 nucleotides long. RefSeq lists it as uncharacterized. Lineage: Eukaryota; Metazoa; Arthropoda; Insecta; Lepidoptera; Crambidae. The record is from RefSeq and is a predicted model, not a curated record. The transcript is spliced from 2 exons.